GACAUCUUCUCGACCCUGAGUUCUUUCAUUUUGAUCGCAAAGGAGACUAUAGGCUGCGUCUUCCUGCUGAAGUUGCCAGACGAGCAGGUCUUUCUCUUGAUCUUCAUCCUUUGAAAGUUCAAAACAUGGUUGGAGUUGUGGAGGUUUAUGAUGU
This is a long non-coding RNA of Helianthus annuus (common sunflower), 154 nucleotides long. RefSeq lists it as uncharacterized. The transcript has 3 exons. Lineage: Eukaryota; Viridiplantae; Streptophyta; Magnoliopsida; Asterales; Asteraceae. The record is from RefSeq and is a predicted model, not a curated record.